AGAGGUCUCAAGCGUUGUUCGGAUUCAUUGGGCGUAAAGGGUGCGUAGGUGGCGUCGUAAGUGGGGUGUGAAAUCCCGGGGCUUAACCCCGGGACUGCAUUCCAUACUGCGGUGCUUGAGGACUGGAGAGGAGACUGGAAUUUACGGUGUAGCAGUGAAAUGCGUAGAGAUCGUAAGGAAGACCAGUGGCGAAGGCGGGUCUCUGGACAGUUCCUGACACUGAGGCACGAAGGCCAGGGGAGCAAACGGGAUUAGAUACCCCGGUAGUCCUGGCAGUAAACGGUGCACGUUUGGUGUGGGAGGAUUCGACCCCUUCCGCGCCGGAGCUAACGCGUUAAACGUGCCGCCUGGGGAGUACGGUCGCAAGAUUA
Molecule: ribosomal RNA, 371 nt
Filed under: uncultured bacterium
Lineage: Bacteria
Description: bacterial SSU rRNA
Rfam family: Bacterial small subunit ribosomal RNA
Source: RNAcentral